This 664-nucleotide ribosomal RNA is filed under the name Shigella flexneri. RNAcentral's name for it is "bacterial SSU rRNA". Lineage: Bacteria; Pseudomonadati; Pseudomonadota; Gammaproteobacteria; Enterobacterales; Enterobacteriaceae. The record is from RNAcentral.
UCGAACGGUAACAGGAARCAGCUUGCUGYUUYGCUGACGAGUGGCGGACGGGUGAGUAAUGUCUGGGAAACUGCCYGAUGGAGGGGGAUAACUACUGGAAACGGUAGCUAAUACCGCAUAACGUCGCAAGACCAAAGAGGGGGACCUUMGGGCCUCUUGCCAUCGGAUGUGCCCAGAUGGGAUUAGCUAGUAGGUGGGGUAACGGCUCACCUAGGCGACGAUCCCUAGCUGGUCUGAGAGGAUGACCAGCCACACUGGAACUGAGACACGGUCCAGACUCCUACGGGAGGCAGCAGUGGGGAAUAUUGCACAAUGGGCGCAAGCCUGAUGCAGCCAUGCCGCGUGUAUGAAGAAGGCCUUCGGGUUGUAAAGUACUUUCAGCGGGGAGGAAGGGAGUAAAGUUAAUACCUUUGCUCAUUGACGUUACCCGCAGAAGAAGCACCGGCUAACUCCGUGCCAGCAGCCGCGGUAAUACGGAGGGUGCAAGCGUUAAUCGGAAUUACUGGGCGUAAAGCGCACGCAGGCGGUUUGUUAAGUCAGAUGUGAAAUCCCCGGGCUCAACCUGGGAACUGCAUCUGAUACUGGCAAGCUUGAGUCUCGUAGAGGGGGGUAGAAUUCCAGGUGUAGCGGUGAAAUGCGUAGAGAUCUGGAGGAAUACCGGUGG